CUCUGCUGGCGCGGUGGCCCCGGGGAAGCUCCUUCCUCGGGCCUCCGAGAGGUUUUCCUCUAUCCAGGGAGCCCAAACUUCUGUUUGAGGAACAGUAUAGCUGCCGAGGCGUGGGACUGGUCCAGUACAGCCAGCCCCGCCCAGGGUCUGCCAAAGGGCAGCGCCCAGCUCCUCCCAUGCUGCUGGGUCCCUGAGGGCCUCCAGAGAACCGAUGGCGGGGACAUAACUAUGGAGCUGGCUCAGCUCUCCAGGCUCCACUAACCGUGAACAAACCACAGGCCCAGGGAGGGAGUGGAAUAAAAGGCCACGGACCUGCCAUGCUCAGAGACCCCAGGCUUCAACCAUGUUGACACCUCUGCCCUUCAUCUGUCCUUCACCCAUGACGCUGCAUGGGCUUCUCUCCAUUCUGCUCCUUCUGACUCUCUUCAGCCCAGGGCAUGUGGACAUUCCUGAGGCCAGGGAUGGAACCCCCUAAUGCAGCUGUGGCACUGCUGGAUCCUUAUCCUACUGCACCACAAGGGAGCUUCCUGGAUUCAUGUCCUCUUGAUGGAAGUGGUCACUAACAAGUCAGACCUAUGCAGGCAUAUGUCCAUCUACACACACCCUGACCAGAGAGCAGCUCUGAGACUCAGGUAGUCCAGACCCUACCUUCUUCCUCCUUCUCCUCUGUGCUCCCACUCAUGACCCACUGACUCCUUUCUUUGCAUCUAUGGCUUCAUCUUUCACUUUGAUCCAUCCUCCUGAGCCUUCUGUGGAAGAGGGUGCCAGUUUGCGGUUUUGCCUCUAACUUCUCACCCCCAAACGAUCAUUUGGAAAUCUCUGUUUAUUCAGUUUUCAAUACAGUUAUUGCUCAGUCAUCUUGUAUCCGACAUAUGCUAUCAUCCCGGUACUUUUUUGAGCUUUAGGUCUAAAACACAAGUAAGCCACAUGAGGACUCCCAAGAAUCAUAAAGUUUUAUGGGAAGAGACAAACACAGGAAAAUGAUUAUUUAAAAAUAACUGAAAAUUUAAAGCAGAGCUAUUUGGAAAGCACAACUAUGAGGUUUUGAACAAAGAGAACUAUUUGUUAUUGUCGUCGUUUGAGAUUACUCAAAGGAUAAACAAAAACCAACACCAUAACACAGAUGUGGCAAAAGGAAUCAUGAAUACAUACGUCCAUAAAUGACAAAUGAUUUGCCAAGUGAAUCUGAGGACUAGAGAAGACAGUGGAGGGAACUUCGGACAAAUGAAACAAAGGGAGUAAAGAUGAAGGUGUGACGAUCGUGGUCUAUGCAUUGUGGUCAAUUACAAGUUCAGCACACAGUGUUCUUAGGUGAAGUGAUCAUGCCUGUGGCCUGGUGAUGAGAGUCACAGGCAGCCCGUGGAAGGUCCUAAGGUGCUAAGGUAGGGGUGUCAUAUGCAGCAGCAGAUUCUCAUAAUGGAAUGGACACUCUUAUUUGAAUUUAGAAACACCCCUCUAGGCAACAAAGAACAUGGACAGGAGGGGCAGCCUGGGAGGGAAGGAUCACCAGAAUGCGCCUGUGUGAUAGUGCAACUGGGUGGAGGGACCGCUAUUCUGGGUGAAGAGAUGGUGACCCUGGAAAGGAAUAUGGAAGAGCUAUAACUGACUCCAUGUAAUGCAUAAAUGAAUGCACUGGGCUCCUGAAUACAGUUAAAGAGCUUUUACCAAGAAGGGAAGCACAGGAAGGAGAAUGUUUCACUUUAUGUUUCUUUGUUUUUGAAUUUCUGACACAAACAAAAUGAGGUCCAUUUUCAACACUAUCAUGUUGUAACUAGGAUAAAGUUGUAAGGUUUUGUGUGUUUUUCACAAGUUUUCCCCAGCUCUACUGAGGUGUGGAUGACAAAUACAGUUUGUGUAUAUGAAGGGUGUACAUGCAUGUGGCCACAACAUGGAUGAAUGUGGAGACAUUAUGCUAAGUGAAAUAAGUCAAAGAGAAAUAGUUCACAAUUUCACUUAUAUGUGGGCUCUGAAAUAGUUAUACUCAUAAAAAUAUUGAGUAGACUGGUGGUGAUCAAGAGCUGUGGGGGAGGGGGAGGAAACAGGAAGGUUGUAUGUUUCCAUGGAUAUACAUUUGCAUCUCUAUGGAGACUUUAGUGCAUUUGCCAUUUUCACUGCCUAUGUGUGGCCAUAUGCUGGAGUAACGCCAAAUCAAUAUUUUGAACAUUAAGUUUAUUGGCAAGAAAAUGAAUUUUUAUUUGGAAGAAAAUGUGUUUCAUGCUAGCAGGCAGUGGCUUCCAUCUCUGAUCCAGUGACAUAGCAUCUGGCCAAAUGUAUAUGUGUUCAAUAAGCAAUUGCAGGAAUUUGGAGCAGUUGAACAGGCCCUUUGUCCAGGUUCUUUUCUCCAUGUGGAAAUGCUCAUCCUAGAAUUCUUCUAUCCUCACACUUGAGUUUGCCAUUUCAUUCAUGGACUAAUGAUCUUACUGACUUUUUUCUGCAGUAAAAAGUGGUUUAGCUUCUGCUGAAUAUCACUGUGUGAAUCUGGGUGGCAUUUGCAGAAGAGACCUCUGUAACACCCUGGAGGAUCAACUUGGUGCCUGCAAAAGAAGGUGGAAAUGCUGUCGGGCAUGGUGGAUUCUUUUGCCUGUCCCAACACCUAUUAUCUAUUCGGAUUAUCAAGAACCCAUUAAGCACAAAGUGAAAUGAAACUAGGAAAAGCAUCAAAAGGAAAUUUCUUUGUAUCUAAAAACUUUAGAAUAUACAUAUUAAACAAUGCCGACUUCGAAUUCCCUUAUGACUCAGUGGAUUAAGGAUCCUGCAUUGUCAGUACUGCAGCUCAGUUGGCUGCUGUGUCAAGGGUUUGAUUUCCUGGCCCAGGAAAUUUCACAUGCCGUGGUUGAAGCCAAAUAGAAAAAAAAAAAAAAAAAAAAACUACUUCCAGCUCUAUGAUCAACUUCUAUUAUUCCUUGUCAAUAAAAAUAAACAGUGAUU
Non-coding RNA from Sus scrofa (pig), 2928 nucleotides. The record is from RefSeq and is a predicted model, not a curated record. Lineage: Eukaryota; Metazoa; Chordata; Mammalia; Artiodactyla; Suidae.